CAGCCUGUCCACCGUGAGGAUAUCAGCAGUCACUUAUGUACCAAGAAUCUUUCAUGGAUUCAGUUUUGAGGUUCAAUCUCCCCUUAUUUUUGUAGUUCCUUCUUUUAGCAUUUCAACAACUUGUUGAUUAUGAUUUUUUUUUGGUUUGCAGGAACAAGGCUUGGCACAUAACUCUUUGCAUGGAAAUCUUUAAUUGGUGUUCCAUGUGCCCGACGAGCGACCAAAGACAAGUGACAAAAAGGACUUUCCUGAUGGCAAGUAUGGCAUUGGUGGUAAAUCUUUCUGGUUAAGUCUACACUUUGUUUGUUUCCUUUAAGCAAUUCAGGCUACCAAUGGCAAGUAGGGCAUUGGUGGAAAAUCUUCCUGGUUAAAUCUACACUUUGUUUGUUUCCUUUAAACUAUUC
Molecule: long non-coding RNA, 404 nt
Filed under: Hordeum vulgare
Lineage: Eukaryota; Viridiplantae; Streptophyta; Magnoliopsida; Poales; Poaceae
Description: long non-coding RNA (HVUL_LNC006911)
Source: RNAcentral